AAGAAUUUUUAAGGUAUUUUUUGUCAUAUUAUUUUUAUAGAAUUUCACAAAAAAUAAUUUUUUUUCAUUACUUUUAACUUAAUUUUAUGUAUUGGCAGGGAGCAAUAGGUGCACUAGAUGGGACAUUAGUACAUGAUGUUAUUCCAGCUAAUCAACAGAUUGUUUACAAAGGAAGAGGAAAGGGUAGAUGUUAUCAAAAUGUUUUGGCAAUAUGUGACUUUGAUAGGUUUUAAAUGUUCUUGCCUUAUGUUUUGACGAUCUAACAAACUUACUGUUAAGAACCAGAUAGGGAACCUGAACUACUCGGACUAUACUGCAAGUUUAACGAAUUUCAGCUAUAGGUGAACUGCUACAGCUUCAGGAGCUAAGAACCCAAACAAGGAACUGAUACCCUUGUGGUUUCCUCAUCACAGUACAAAGUCAAUUGGUCACAGCUGGAAAUGAAGUGACUGAUUGUACUAUUUCUGUCGCACUGCACUGUCCAGCGCCCAUUCAUUCUCUGACCAACUAAAGUGCUCACAUCAUUUCAAGUGAUGUGAUCAAGGUGUAUCUACAAUGAGUUUACACAAAAUAUCACUUGAAUGUUUCAGUUUCUUAUUCAAGUUUCUAGCCAA
This 614-nucleotide long non-coding RNA is filed under the name Nicotiana tabacum (common tobacco). Its description in RNAcentral is "long non-coding RNA (NTAB_LNC014858)". Lineage: Eukaryota; Viridiplantae; Streptophyta; Magnoliopsida; Solanales; Solanaceae. The record is from RNAcentral.